RNAcentral lists this ribosomal RNA (620 nucleotides) under uncultured bacterium. Its description in RNAcentral is "bacterial SSU rRNA". It matches the Rfam family "Bacterial small subunit ribosomal RNA", at positions 427 to 1035 of the family's 1533-position model. The record is from RNAcentral.
AAAACUCUGUUGUUAGUGAAGAACAAGUACCGUUCAAAUAGGUCGGUACCUUGACGGUAACUAACGAGAAAGCCACGGCUAACUACGUGCCAGCAGCCGCGGUAAUACGUAGGUGGCAAGCGUUGUCCGGAAUUAUUGGGCGUAAAGGGCGCGCAGGCGACCGAUUAAGUCUGAUGUGAAAUCCCACGGCUUAACCGUGGAAGGUCAUUGGAAACUGAUUGGCUUGAGUGCAGAAGAGGAGAGUGGAAUUCCACGUGUAGCGGUGAAAUGCGUAGAUAUGUGGAGGAACACCAGUGGCGAAGGCGGCUCUCUGGUCUGCAACUGACGCUGAGGCGCGAAAGCGUGGAUAGCAAACAGGAUUAGAUACCCUGGUAGUCCACGCUGUAAACGAUGAGUGCUAAGUGUCAGGGGGUUUCCGCCCCUUGGUGCUGGAGUUAACGCAUUAAGCACUCCGCCUGGGGAUUACGGCCGCAAGGCUGAAACUCAAAGGAAUUGACGGGGGCCCGCACAAGCGGUGGAGCAUGUGGUUUAAUUCGAAGCUACGCGAAGAACCUUACCAGGUCUUGACAUCCUCUGCUACUUUUAGAGAUAAAAGGUUUCCCUUCGGGGGACAGAGUGAC